Octodon degus (degu) is the source of this 226-nucleotide long non-coding RNA. RefSeq lists it as uncharacterized. NCBI's taxonomy places the organism in Eukaryota, Metazoa, Chordata, Mammalia, Rodentia, Octodontidae. The transcript is spliced from 2 exons. The record is from RefSeq and is a predicted model, not a curated record.
GGGGAGAACGUGAAGUAGCCUGCACAUUCCAGUACCAGGACCAAACAGAGCCUACCAAGUGGUCACAUUUUUAAAAAGUUUCUUACAAAACUGAGCCAAGCAUGAACGGAGCAGUCAUUAAUUUAGACCACAAGCAGACCAGCCACUGUAUCUCACCUAAUACCUGCGGAUGAAAGAACUAUGUUCCUGUAUUCACCUCCACAUCUUCUUUACAGACUUACUGUUC